This 253-nucleotide ribosomal RNA is filed under the name uncultured bacterium. Its description in RNAcentral is "partial 16S ribosomal RNA". It matches the Rfam family "Bacterial small subunit ribosomal RNA", at positions 524 to 776 of the family's 1533-position model. The record is from RNAcentral.
UACGUAGGGUGCAGGCGUUAAUCGGAAUUACUGGGCGUAAAGCGUGCGCAGGCGGUCUGCUAAGAGAGAUGUGAAAUCCCCGGGCUUAACCUGGGAACUGCGUUUCUAACUGGCAGGCUAGAGUGUGGCAGAGGGGGGUGGAAUUCCACGUGUAGCAGUGAAAUGCGUAGAGAUGUGGAGGAACACCGAUGGCGAAGGCAGCCCCCUGGGCUAAUACUGACGCUCAUGCACGAAAGCGUGGGGAGCAAACAGG